RNAcentral lists this ribosomal RNA (424 nucleotides) under uncultured bacterium. RNAcentral's name for it is "partial 16S ribosomal RNA". It matches the Rfam family "Bacterial small subunit ribosomal RNA", at positions 354 to 796 of the family's 1533-position model. The record is from RNAcentral.
GUGGGGAAUAUUGGACAAUGGGGGCAACCCUGAUCCAGCAAUGCCGCGUGUGUGAAGAAGGUCUUCGGAUCGUAAAGCACUUUCGACGGGGACGAUGAUGACGGUACCCGUAGAAGAAGCCCCGGCUAGCUUCGUGCCAGCAGCCGCGGUAAUACGAAGGGGGCUAGCGUUGCUCGGAAUUACUGGGCGUAAAGGGCGCGUAGGCGGCUCUGUUAGUCAGGCGUGAAAUUCCUGGGCUUAACCUGGGGACUGCGCUUGAUACUGCGGAGCUUGAGGCCGAGAGAGGGUGGUGGAAUUCCCAGUGUAGAGGUGAAAUUCGUAGAUAUUGGAAGAACACCGGUGGCGAAGGCGACCACCUGGCUCGGUACUGACGCUGAGGCGCGACAGCGUGGGGAGCAAACAGGAUUAGAUACCCUAGUAGUCC